GCCCGAUUAGCACAGUGGUAGUGCGUCUGUCUUGUAAACAGAAGGUCGGUUGUUCAAUCCAGCCAUCGGGCA
Molecule: non-coding RNA, 72 nt
Organism: Rhizopus microsporus
Lineage: Eukaryota; Fungi; Mucoromycota; Mucoromycetes; Mucorales; Rhizopodaceae
Source: Rfam